This 497-nucleotide ribosomal RNA is filed under the name uncultured bacterium. RNAcentral describes it as "partial 16S ribosomal RNA". It matches the Rfam family "Bacterial small subunit ribosomal RNA", at positions 28 to 507 of the family's 1533-position model. The record is from RNAcentral.
GAUGAACGCUGGCGGCGUGCCUAAUACGUGCAAGUCGAGCGAACGGACGAGAAGCUUGCUUCUCUGAUGUUAGCGGCGGACGGGUGAGUAACACGUGGAUAACCUACCUAUAAGACUGGGAUAACUUCGGGAAACCGGAGCUAAUACCGGAGGAUAUUUUGAACCGCAGGGUUCAAAAGUGAAAGACGGUCUUGCUGUCACUUAUAGAUGGAUCCGCGCUGCAUUAGCUAGUUGGUAAGGUAACGGCUUACCAAGGCAACGAUGCAUAGCCGACCUGAGAGGGUGAUCGGCCACACUGGAACUGAGACACGGUCCAGACUCCUACGGGAGGCAGCAGUAGGGAAUCUUCCGCAAUGGGCGAAAGCCUGACGGAGCAACGCCGCGUGAGUGAUGAAGGUCUUCGGAUCGUAAAACUCUGUUAUGAGUGAAGAACAUAUGUGUAAGUAACUGUGCACAUCUUGACGGUACCUAAUCAGAAAGCCACGGCUAACUACGUG